Molecule: long non-coding RNA, 3108 nt
Organism: Eucalyptus grandis
Lineage: Eukaryota; Viridiplantae; Streptophyta; Magnoliopsida; Myrtales; Myrtaceae
Exons: 3
Source: RefSeq, a predicted model, not a curated record
UGGCAUUCCUUGAUAAAUUAUUUUCCAUGUCGUCGUCUUUUCAUCAUUCAUAAAUCGUCAUUCGUUUCGUUUUCCCUCUCAUCCCUGAGGACUUGGGGGUGGAAUCUGCUGUUUCACAGUCGCUGUCGAGAGAACCCACCGACUUUGCUCAUGGAAGACUGCAAAGUUCUCGCGAGCGCCGCGAGGAGGAGGAGGAGGAGGAGGAGCGAAUUCGUUGCUUCUGUAAAAGACGAUGGAUGGGGGAGGCAUCUGAAGAAAUAAGAGUCGUCGCUUGUCGUGGCGUUGGAAGACAGUCAUUGUGGAAGCUGCUGCCUUGGAGAGGAGAUGAGAUCCGAUCAUUUCCAUAGUGCUGGUCAGGUGUUUGACGAAAUGCGAAUUUGGAGUAGGAACUGGGUGAUGAAAUUGCUGGAUGUAGCGAGAAAGCAUAUGAUUAUUUGUCAAAUUGGUGAUGCACGGCAAACGUUGCUCUUCUCCUGCGACCAAGCACUUGCAGCAUAUAUUAAGGAGGAGCAUCCCCAGUGGCAGAUUAAAAGCGGGUUUGUAUAUUUUCAAAAGGCCAAGGAAUCUGCAUCUUCAAAGGAAAUUCCUUCCCUGCAGCUUAUCAAUCAGACAUUGGGUCACACAAGAGAGCUGGAGCAGAUUGUUUAGGACUUGUGGCAGUGCGUGGUGGUUUGCACUGGUAUUUGCACACUUUGAAGAUUGGUUAUUUUAUGCUGAUGGCAUCUCAUCCCUUUUGCUCUUUUUGAGAAAUUUGAUACUUAUUUUUAGUAAUCAUAUCCAUUUCCUUGUUGAAUACAAUUUUGUAUUUGAUCAGUAGUAUAUUUUCCUUGGUUUACCUGCUUGGAAGAACCAGAAACUGAAAUCAGUCUAGUCACAUGGAGAUGGACAACUUGUCGAAUGUAUACGUCGUUCUUAAUCAGUCUAACCCUAUGAAAAGGCCUUGAUACAAUAAGGUUUAAUCUGUCAUAGUAGAAUCGAAUAUAUGCACAUGUGGUGACAUCAAUUGUCUCCAUUGGUCAAAGAGUUGCAAAGCAUUGACAUAGGAAAGCCAACUAGGUUUGCUUGUGUCUAGUUCAAUUUUUAGUGCAGUAGGUUGAAAUAGCCACUGGCUGUGGGCUUGUGCUUGCUCCUGAUUGAUGGUAUUCCGAAGAGACGGCAUAGGACAAUCAUAUAAGAAAUUUCUUUUCCCCUUAUUUUUUCCUAGACUCCGGAUUGAGCUCUGUGAACAUGUGAUUUUGCUUUCUACAUUUGCUGCAUAACACUCUCAAGACUGAGCAGAGUCAAUGAAUUUGUGGUUUGCAAUUUCAUAGAGUCUUGAGUGAUCCAUGAUGUAGCCUUUGCAUGGCAAAGUCGUUGCUAAAUGCUGUUGCCCCUCUCUGAUAAAUGAUGUUCCUCCUGCUGCGAAAGAAAAUGAAAGUCAUCCUUAGUUUGCUUAAUUGAUACUUCUAACGGAUCGGGAAAGAGCAAGAGGAAGAAUUUAAUGGGUGGGUAUGCAACAAUGGUCCGCCUCUUUUGAAUCCUGGCGUUAUGAUGAAUUAACUCCUUGCUGUUAGGAUGUGACCAUCAUUGAUGGAUCUCAUCAUAUCUUAUAAUGAUGGAAUACUGAACAUUUAAGGAAUUCCCAAUCACCCAAAUGUUUUCAAUUUCUUAAUACUUAUUUUCUUGUUUAUUCCUCCUUGUUUUUUUUUUUUUUUUUUUUUUAAAUUAUCGUUGGCUUUUCUUGUUUCUUUUCAGUAGGCCCUUCUGCUCCACAAUGCAUGUUUUGUUUCCAUCUUUACAAUGUAGUCUUACUUGAUCUUCAAGAUGAUGAUACUAAUAAAAAGCUGACAAGUGCAAAGACUUUGCCACCUCACUUUUCAUUGGGUUCACAGGAUCUUUUGCAAAACCGCACUUUCAUUGGAUUUGCAUGCACAGUGGACCACGGCGAAUGCUUGAGACUUAUAUAGAAGAUGCACGACAUAAGUUAGAGUUGGUUUUGGUGAGAAAGAUUAAAUGUCAUUCAGUUGCUGAAUUGAAUAUGGAAGCCUCAAAUCACCUGACUUCCUAAAGAUGCUGUUAUUAUAAGUGUGAAGAUGGAAGAUCAAGAUGCCUUUGAGCAAGAUUUUUUUCAACUGAAGCCUUAUUAUACAAAUGCAGGGUAACUUUUGACCUGGCGUUGCUUAAAAUUGUUUGUUCAUACUCAUGGGCACGAGGCCUGAAUUGCUAGAUUAUGAGAAAGAGUUCUCAUCCUUAUUGCUUUAUUGAACAUUUUGCACUCAUCAUUUUUAUGUAAACUUACUUGAGAAUUCUUCUGGUUGAGCAGUGGCCGUAUUCCACCAUCUCCUCAAGAGUACCCUAUUUUAGAUCUCAGCCUGUUGAGACUCCUUUUGCGGAAUGGAAUAGCUGAGUUCCAUACCGAACUUGAAUUGCUUUCAUAUGCCACCCUAGAGAAUCCUUGCAUCAAAUGCCGUUGAGUUGGAGCAAUCUUUCAUGGAAGGGGCCUAUAAUCGUGUUUUGAGCUAGGCAGACGGUGUCUCAUGAGACUUGUGUUACUAGUUUAUAUCCUUUUCAAUGAUUAUGAUAAUUUAUCCUAUUCUGGGAUCAUAGACAGAUAUAAAACUUACACUUGUCACAUCUACUUGUCAUUUGGCCCUUGCUGUCACUCUGGUGGGGUCAAACUUGGCUGGUGGGUUCAGUACUAAAACCUCGUGCUUGUAAAAGUGCUGAUGUAGAUAGUAAACAGUAGAUUCAUAUCCAUGUAAAAAGCUGCAAUGUGGAGCUUGAACAUUUCUAUCUCCGUUGGAAUGCAGGAACAUCCCAAGUGGGAGAUUAAGAGUGGGUAUGCAUAUUUCCAGAAGGCAAAGGAAUGUGCACCUUUGAAGGAAAUUCCAUCCAUGCGGCUUACCAAUCAGACUUUGAGUUAGGCAAGAGAGUUGGAGUGGAUUGUUUAGGACCUUCUGCCGUGCACGGUGGUUUGCACUGGUAUUUGCAGACUUCAGAGAUUGGUUAUAUUUUGCUAAUGGCAUCCCACCUUUUGCCCAUUUCGAGAGACUUGAUAUUCUUUUUAAUGUCUGUAACUUUAUUUGAUCAUUAUGAUGGAAUUUAUCUCAGCGAUCAUGUUAGUACUCA